RNAcentral lists this ribosomal RNA (399 nucleotides) under Clostridioides difficile. Its description in RNAcentral is "bacterial LSU rRNA". It matches the Rfam family "Bacterial large subunit ribosomal RNA", at positions 1750 to 2160 of the family's 2925-position model. The record is from RNAcentral. Lineage: Bacteria; Bacillati; Bacillota; Clostridia; Peptostreptococcales; Peptostreptococcaceae.
GCCACCAUCAGGUGGCCGCAGAGAAUAGGCCCAAGCGACUGUUUACCAAAAACAUAGGUUUCUGCUAAGUCGCAAGACGAUGUAUAGGAGCUGACGCCUGCCCGGUGCUGGAAGGUUAAGGGGAUCUGUUAGAGCAAUCGAAGCAGUGAACUUAAGCCCCAGUAAACGGCGGCCGUAACUAUAACGGUCCUAAGGUAGCGAAAUUCCUUGUCGGGUAAGUUCCGACCCGCACGAAAGGCGUAACGAUUUGGGCACUGUCUCAACAACAGACUCGGUGAAAUUGUAAUUCCGGUGAAGAUGCCGGAUACCUGCGACAGGACGGAAAGACCCCAUGGAGCUUUACUGUAGCUUGACAUUGGGUCUUGGUACUACAUGUACAGGAUAGGUGGGAGGCUUUGA